CAGUGCGGGAUGUUUGCUAGGCAGCUGAGCUCGAAGCCUCUGAUUGGCGAAGGCGUUGCUAAGGCAAACAGUGCCGCUUCCUCCGAUUGGCCAGUUAGUGAAGGGCCACCCGGAAGGUGGGGCUCCCCAGAGGAGCAAUGGAGGAAGCCCCGCCCCCUCUCCUUACCGGGAAGAGGAAGGGGGAGGCGUAACUAGGGCCAGCAUCCCUAGCAGCAGCGAAUACACUCCCUAAACGUGCCCAGGCCCGGACAUCCUGAAGAGUAGCAUCUGGAAUGAUGCGAGAGGAGACGGGGGCUAGAUUAGCAGCUACCACCCUUCCAUGAGCCCAGGAAGGAAACCAAGGGUGGCCCCAUGAAUGGUAUCCUUACUCUCCCAAAAGUUCCACAACCCACCUUGGAAGCAGCUCUGGUUUCUAUAGGGGACAGAAAUAAACACUAUCCAAUGUC
Felis catus (domestic cat) is the source of this 446-nucleotide long non-coding RNA. RefSeq lists it as uncharacterized. The transcript has 2 exons. NCBI's taxonomy places the organism in Eukaryota, Metazoa, Chordata, Mammalia, Carnivora, Felidae. The record is from RefSeq and is a predicted model, not a curated record.